This is a ribosomal RNA of Zhouia amylolytica AD3, 108 nucleotides long. Lineage: Bacteria; Pseudomonadati; Bacteroidota; Flavobacteriia; Flavobacteriales; Flavobacteriaceae. The record is from Rfam.
UAAGGUGGUUACAGCGGUGGGGCUCACCUCUUCCCAUUCCGAACAGAGCAGUUAAGCCCACCAGCGCAGAUGGUACUACGAAAGUGGGAGAGUAUGUCGCCGCCUUCU